Trifolium pratense (red clover) is the source of this 310-nucleotide long non-coding RNA. RefSeq lists it as uncharacterized. The transcript has 3 exons. Lineage: Eukaryota; Viridiplantae; Streptophyta; Magnoliopsida; Fabales; Fabaceae. The record is from RefSeq and is a predicted model, not a curated record.
CACCACCACAAAAAAUUUCUCUAUCUCCUUCUCCCUUUUCUCUAUCAAAAUCGCCGGAAAAGUCAGUCUUCGCCACCACCACAGAAAGAAAUUGAGUUAUAAAAGCUAGCAUCUGGAGUUUACCCUUACUAUGAAGGAAAAGAGUAUAAUUGGUUUAUACAGGAAUGUAAUUAAAUUGAACACUUUUGUAGCACAAACAAAAGCUUAAAUGUGACACCAUUUUUCUUGGUGCAAUUUCACAUCAAACACUUUUGUAGCACAAGCAAAAGCUAAAUAUAAUACAAAACAAGGUGUAGUCAUGGCUAAAAAA